CAGGUGAUGAGCGCAGGUGAGAGCUGUGGCGGAGGGAUAUGCAGAUACACGGCGAGCAGAGGGAUGCACAACAGAGCCACGUGAAGCCACCACUCCCUGCUGACACGACGGACCGAUCCGCACUCGCCUUCAUUCCGCUGCAGACAGAAUUAGCGAUGUUUGGACGUUACACCCAGCCGACAGAAGCAUGUGGACAGCCAUCGGCUGUAAUGAUGGACAUCUGCUCAUAAGGCGGACCUGGUGCGGCCUCCACUUCAAAAUCACACCAUUAAAAGCGUGAAGACUCCAGCUCCAGCCAUUUCAGAUACUCUUUAACUUCCAAACGAGAAUGAGAGAUGAAUCUCAGGACUCUUGGAACUUAAAAUAAACCCAAAGAUGACUUUUAAGGGGUGAAGUAUGAGAAAGUAAGUAUGAGAGGAGAUUUAUGGACUGAGAUCCUCGUCUAUGGCUCCCUCCCCUCACCAGUCCAAAGAAGAAACCUCCCAUGGCCCUCAAUACCUCUACUCACUGCUAUACAAGCUUUAGUGUUAUCUAUUUGGCUUGAAGGUUCUAUGUAUCUACAAAUAUAUAACAAAUAAAACUUGCAGGCAAAAAUA
This is a long non-coding RNA of Carassius gibelio (silver crucian carp), 596 nucleotides long. RefSeq lists it as uncharacterized. The transcript has 3 exons. NCBI's taxonomy places the organism in Eukaryota, Metazoa, Chordata, Actinopteri, Cypriniformes, Cyprinidae. The record is from RefSeq and is a predicted model, not a curated record.